UCUUGGUCAUUUAGAGGAAGUAAAAGUCGUAACAAGGUCUCCGUUGGUGAACCAGCGGAGGGAUCAUUACAGAGUUGCAAAACUCCCUAAACCAUUGUGAACGUUACCUAAACCGUUGCUUCGGCGGGCGGCCCGGGUCCUUCCCGGCGCCCAUCGGCCCUCGCGGGCGCCCGCCGGAGGUAAACCAAACUAUUGCAUUGUAUGGCCUCUCUGAGUCUUCUGUACUGAAUAAGUCAAAACUUUCAACAACGGAUCUCUUGGUUCUGGCAUCGAUGAAGAACGCAGCGAAAUGCGAUAAGUAAUGUGAAUUGCAGAAUUCAGUGAAUCAUCGAAUCUUUGAACGCACAUUGCGCCCGCCAGUAUUCUGGCGGGCAUGCCUGUUCGAGCGUCAUUUCAACCAUCAAGCCCCGGGCUUGUGUUGGGACCUGCGGCUGCCGCAGGCCCUGAAAUGCAGUGGCGGGCUCGCUGUCACUCCGAGCGUAGUAGUUACAUCUCGCUCUGGGCGUGCUGCGGGUUCCGGCCGUUAAAAGCCUUAUUUACCCAAGGUUGACCUCGGAUCAGGUAGGAAGACCCGCUGAACUUAAGCAUAUCAAUAAGCGGAGGAA
This 605-nucleotide ribosomal RNA is filed under the name uncultured Humicola. RNAcentral's name for it is "eukaryotic LSU rRNA". The stretch from base 238 to 391 matches the Rfam family "5.8S ribosomal RNA". Lineage: Eukaryota; Fungi; Ascomycota. The record is from RNAcentral.